RNAcentral lists this ribosomal RNA (633 nucleotides) under Cerrena sp. 11B-4. RNAcentral describes it as "eukaryotic LSU rRNA". The record is from RNAcentral. Lineage: Eukaryota; Fungi; Basidiomycota; Agaricomycetes; Polyporales; Cerrenaceae.
GAGGAAGUAAAAGUCGUAACAAGGUUUCCGUAGGUGAACCUGCGGAAGGAUCAUUAAUGAAUUUUAUGGCGGAAUUGUAGCUGGCCCCAACCGGGCAUGUGCACAUUCUGUUCAUUCCAUUCUCAUACACCUCUGUGCACUUUACAUAGGUUUGGUAUAGAAAAGGUCUUUAUUGACUUUGGAAAUACUGACCUAUGCUUUUAUAAACGCUUCAGUUUUAGAAUGUCAUCCGCGUAUAACGCAAUAAAUACAACUUUCAGCAACGGAUCUCUUGGCUCUCGCAUCGAUGAAGAACGCAGCGAAAUGCGAUAAGUAAUGUGAAUUGCAGAAUUCAGUGAAUCAUCGAAUCUUUGAACGCAUCUUGCGCCCUUUGGUAUUCYGAAGGGCAUGCCUGUUUGAGUGUCAUGGUAUUCUCAAUACCCCAAAUCUUUGCGGAUAAGGGUGUGUUGGACUUGGAGGUUUUUGCAGGUAAUGAUUGRAUUACCAGCUCCUCUUAAAUGCAUUAGCAGAGAUAAUACUGCUACUCUCCAGUGUGAUAAUUGUCUACACUGUUAGUAGUGCGGUAUAACAAAAUGUCUAUGCUUCUAAUCGUCUUCGGACAACUUUUGACAAUCUGACCUCAAAUCAGGUAGG